AGUGGUAGCUCAGUGGCUAAAUUAUCAGGCUACUGAUCAGAAAGUCAUGAGUUCAAAUCCCAGCAUCACCA
Non-coding RNA from Pangasianodon gigas (Mekong giant catfish), 71 nucleotides. The record is from the annotation of a GenBank genome assembly. Lineage: Eukaryota; Metazoa; Chordata; Actinopteri; Siluriformes; Pangasiidae.